Molecule: ribosomal RNA, 253 nt
Filed under: uncultured bacterium
Lineage: Bacteria
Description: partial 16S ribosomal RNA
Rfam family: Bacterial small subunit ribosomal RNA
Source: RNAcentral
UACGUAGGGUGCGAGCGUUGUCCGGAAUUAUUGGGCGUAAAGGGCUCGUAGGCGGUCUGUUACGUCGGGAGUGAAAACUCAGGGCUUAACCCUGAGCCUGCUUCCGAUACGGGCAGACUAGAGGUAUGCAGGGGAGAACGGAAUUCCUGGUGUAGCGGUGAAAUGCGCAGAUAUCAGGAGGAACACCGGUGGCGAAGGCGGUUCUCUGGGCAUUACCUGACGCUGAGGAGCGAAAGUGUGGGGAGCGAACAGG